This 429-nucleotide ribosomal RNA is filed under the name Gemmatimonadota bacterium. Its description in RNAcentral is "Gemmatimonadetes bacterium partial 16S ribosomal RNA". It matches the Rfam family "Bacterial small subunit ribosomal RNA", at positions 355 to 776 of the family's 1533-position model. Lineage: Bacteria; Pseudomonadati; Gemmatimonadota. The record is from RNAcentral.
UAGGGAAUCUUCGGCAAUGGACGAAAGUCUGACCGAGCAACGCCGCGUGAGUGAAGAAGGUUUUCGGAUCGUAAAACUCUGUUGUUAGAGAAGAACAAGGACGUUAGUAACUGAACGUCCCCUGACGGUAUCUAACCAGAAAGCCACGGCUAACUACGUGCCAGCAGCCGCGGUAAUACGUAGGUGGCAAGCGUUGUCCGGAUUUAUUGGGCGUAAAGCGAGCGCAGGCGGUUUCUUAAGUCUGAUGUGAAAGCCCCCGGCUCAACCGGGGAGGGUCAUUGGAAACUGGGAGACUUGAGUGCAGAAGAGGAGAGUGGAAUUCAAUGUGUAGCGGUGAAAUGCGUAGAUAUAUGGAGGAACACCAGUGGCGAAGGCGGCUCUCUGGUCUGUAACUGACGCUGAGGCUCGAAGGCGUGGGGAGCAAACAGG